UCAUUUGUUGCAGCUGUAGGAUG
Molecule: small nuclear RNA, 23 nt
Filed under: Arabidopsis thaliana (thale cress)
Lineage: Eukaryota; Viridiplantae; Streptophyta; Magnoliopsida; Brassicales; Brassicaceae
Description: snRNA_13730
Source: RNAcentral